AGCCCAAUUUUGUUGAGAUGAUUUUUGCUGUGUGUAUUUUUAUUUUAUUAUUAUUAUUAUUAUUAUUAGCCUACAUUUGCAAGCUUUAUAACGUUACAUUAGUCAUAGCUGUGACUAGUGUUUGAAACUGCACACUGGUGUGUAUUUGUGUCUUGUACAGACACCGUUUGCGGUCAGUUGGUGGAAAGUCUAGCGACACUUACAUCUCUGUCUUUAUGCUCAGUUCGGAUGAAAGCGUUUGCUAAACGAUCUAACGUAAAUGUAAAACAUAGUGAACUUUAAAGUGUCUCCUGCCGCGUAAAGCUACAGUACAAACAGACCCCUGAUUGUAUUUUUAGGCAAAUUGUCAACUGGUGCUUAUUACAUUUUCCAGAUGAUUCAGUGGAAACCCCUGUGACUGUGUUUAAUUCUGCCUAACAAGUCUCAGCGUUUCAUGAUACUAAAUUAGAUUUCACUCUUUUUUAGAUCUUUUUAUGUGCUCAUGGUAAGCACUUAUCCUUUAUGUCGCCAACAGUGAACUGCGAUGUAUAAAUAAACCACAUCAGGGUUCUUUUUUUUUCCCCUGUGAUAUUUUUUAUCCCCAAUUUUUUUUCCCCUGUAAGUUAUUAACGUCCUAUUUUUGCCUGUCCUUCCAUUCUUGGUUAAUGAGGCUGAUCUUGUGCAGAAAUUUGUCCUCAGAAAUGCGUCAUGCUAGUCGUUCGAAACAACCAAGGAGAAGAUGUCGGCUUUGUUUUAUUUGAUUUUAUUCUGUGUUAAGAGCCAGAUUUCUUGGAAUACAUUAAACCGUGAAAUUCUAUGAAGUAAAACAUUUAAAAGUCUAUACAAACUUAAAUCUGAAGUGGGAUUGUGACGAUAUUUAAGAAUGCAUGAUCAUCUACUUCAAAUAAAGUGCAGGGUGACUCGAGGCACAAGUCAGAGACACUCUGGAUGGAGCGCCACCUCACUACAAGGGAUGAUAAAAGCUCAGACUCAUGCCAGGCCCCCUUUGCAAACACUGCUGUGACAAAGUGCUGGCUCAGUGGCGUGCCUGAGAAGAAGAAAAGCUCGACAUUACGAAUAGAAAUGAUCUAUUGAUCAGGGGAGUGUUUGCUCACUUAAGACCUCGCCUGCUCAUGGAUGGCUGCGUAUGACAAGGAAAUGGUUGCCCCUUUUUUUUUGUGUGCGUGUGUGUGUGUGUGUGUGUGUGUGAGUGAGAGAGAGAGGAAACAUGCAUCUUGUCAGAAAAAACUUGUUUCAUACUGUAGAUGUUCCAAGACUAUAAAUGUAAUUAUAUUAUAUUAUGUAAUUAUAUUAUAAAUGUAAUUCUAUUAUAUUAAAUGUAAAUAAAUGACAUUUAUUUAAUAAACGAUGUUCUUGAAGAACCCGAUGGAGAACGUGGUGGAAAAGUUAUUCCACUUCACGCUUCACAUCUCACCACGACAUCGUCGAUUACUUUCCUCUUAACUUUUAAAUUUUUGUAUAAUCCAUUAUAUAACAUUAUACACACGAUUCCCAUAGCUCAUAGCCACAAAACACGGCUCGAACAACAAGGCCGGAGUUAGUUCGACUUACUCUGACGCGCCGUGUCAAAACUUUCAGUCUUUGAGCUUUAUUCACAGAAUUCUGACACUGUUGCUUUGAUUAGAGAAGCUCACGCGGCACUGGGGUUUUAGUGAAAGAGUUUUCAAGGUGCUGCAAAAAAAAAAAAAAAGCUAUUGAUUUUUCAAAGUCAGGUGCAAAGAGGCCUUGAUGUUGAACUCCAUCUCUCUCUCUCUCUCUCUCUCUGUCUCUCUCCAUCUCUGUGCAUUGAUAAAACUCUCUUUCUUUAAUGCUACAAACUGUCAGAACUUUCAUGUUCUCCCUGUUUCCCUUGGACAGCUUAAAACGAAAACUGACAAUUCAUAAGCGCGUUUUAUAACACGCAUUCAGCCAACACAACAAAAUGUGUCUUUAAAAGA
Tachysurus fulvidraco (yellow catfish) is the source of this 1937-nucleotide long non-coding RNA. RefSeq lists it as uncharacterized. The record is from RefSeq and is a predicted model, not a curated record. NCBI's taxonomy places the organism in Eukaryota, Metazoa, Chordata, Actinopteri, Siluriformes, Bagridae. The transcript has 3 exons.